AGAGUUUGAUCCUGGCUCAGGACGAACGCUGGCGGCGUGCUUAACACAUGCAAGUCGAACGAAGAGCGAUGGAAGCUUGCUUCUAUCAAUCUUAGUGGCGAACGGGUGAGUAACGCGUAAUCAACCUGCCCUUCUGAGGGGGACAACAGUUGGAAACGACUGCUAAUACCGCAUACGAUCCAAUCUCGGCAUCGAGACUGGAUGAAAGGUGGCCUCUAUUUAUAAGCUAUCACUGAAGGAGGGGAUUGCGUCUGAUUAGCUAGUUGGAGGGGUAACGGCCCACCAAGGCGAUGAUCAGUAGCCGGUCUGAGAGGAUGAACGGCCACAUUGGGACUGAGACACGGCCCAGACUCCUACGGGAGGCAGCAGUGGGGAAUCUUCCGCAAUGGACGAAAGUCUGACGGAGCAACGCCGCGUGAGUGAUGACGGCCUUCGGGUUGUAAAGCUCUGUUAAUCGGGACGAAUGGUUCUUGUGCAAAUAGUGCAAGGAUUUGACGGUACCGGAAUAGAAAGCCACGGCUAACUACGUGCCAGCAGCCGCGGU
Molecule: ribosomal RNA, 544 nt
Filed under: unidentified oral bacterium RP55-42
Lineage: Bacteria
Description: bacterial SSU rRNA
Rfam family: Bacterial small subunit ribosomal RNA
Source: RNAcentral